This 212-nucleotide long non-coding RNA is filed under the name Calidris pygmaea (Spoon-billed sandpiper). Its description in RNAcentral is "lncRNA (ENSCPGG00000000006.1)". The record is from RNAcentral. Lineage: Eukaryota; Metazoa; Chordata; Aves; Charadriiformes; Scolopacidae.
GGGCCGGGCCGCCAGCAGCGCGGGGCGGCGGAGAGACAGGUUUGUUUUAAUGUGGAAGUGGAUCUCUCAGCUUAAUGCAAAUCAAACAAACAAAGGAAAAAAGGAUGUCAAGCGUGGUCUUCCUUGAUUUUGAUGAAGGACCGUUGCAGGAAGCCAUGGAUAUUUGUUGUGAGUUAUAACAUCUUAAUUCCAAGAGUCUAGUAUAAAUGUAC